GGUGGUAUAGCUCAGUGGUAGAGCAUUCAACUGCAGAUCGAGUGGUCCCCGGAAAGAAACGCAGGUGUCUUCU
Trichonephila inaurata madagascariensis is the source of this 73-nucleotide non-coding RNA. The record is from the annotation of a GenBank genome assembly. NCBI's taxonomy places the organism in Eukaryota, Metazoa, Arthropoda, Arachnida, Araneae, Nephilidae.